GAUGAACGCUGGCGGCGUGCCUAAUACAUGCAAGUCGAGCGCAGGACCAAGGAGCUUGCUCCUUGGAACUGAGCGGCGGACGGGUGAGUAACACGUAGGCAACCUACCCAUCAGACCGGGAUAACCACGGGAAACCGUGGCUAAUACCGGAUGAUCCUUUGAGACACAAGUCUUAAAGUUGAAAGGCGCUUUUGGUGCCGUUGAUGGAUGGGCCUGCGGCGCAUUAGCUAGUUGGUGAGAUAGUGGCUCACCAAGGCGACGAUGCGUAGCCGACCUGAGAGGGUGAUCGGCCACACUGGGACUGAGACACGGCCCAGACUCCUACGGGAGGCAGCAGUAGGGAAUCUUCCGCAAUGGACGCAAGUCUGACGGAGCAACGCCGCGUGAGCGAAGAAGGGUUUCGGCUCGUAAAACUCUGUUGUUAAGGAAGAAUGACACAUGGAGUAACUG
RNAcentral lists this ribosomal RNA (450 nucleotides) under uncultured bacterium. RNAcentral describes it as "bacterial SSU rRNA". It matches the Rfam family "Bacterial small subunit ribosomal RNA", at positions 28 to 467 of the family's 1533-position model. The record is from RNAcentral.